RNAcentral lists this long non-coding RNA (428 nucleotides) under Actinidia chinensis (golden kiwifruit). RNAcentral's name for it is "long non-coding RNA (ACHI_LNC003780)". Lineage: Eukaryota; Viridiplantae; Streptophyta; Magnoliopsida; Ericales; Actinidiaceae. The record is from RNAcentral.
AAAAUUAUUAAAAAUUUUAUUUUAAAACUUUUCAACUUUUAAUUUUCAAUAAAUAAUUUUAAAAUAAAUUUCAGUCACACCAAACAUCUUCUAUAAAACUUUUAGCUUUUUUUACAUUUUCCAACCAGACGCGGCACAAAUUGGGGUAACUUAUCCUGCAUAUCCAAUCCCCAAUAACGUGACCUUACGGAUAAUUGCCAACUUGCUCCCAAUCAGACUUCGAUUUGAACACACUCGCUGAUCCGUACCGUGUGAGUGUAUAUACUCUAAACCUUCCCCUUCAAUAUGCCCUUUGCUAUGGGGAAAUCGCACUUACAACCCUAAAUGCAAUUAAAAUCUAACCCUUUUACUCCUUGAAAUCACAGUGCACUACCCUAUUUUAUGAUUUUAUGUAAUAAUGUAGUCCAAUCUUUAGUUGAUCGACUGUU